CCGGGUGGGGCUGGGCUGGG
Molecule: microRNA, 20 nt
Filed under: Gallus gallus (chicken)
Lineage: Eukaryota; Metazoa; Chordata; Aves; Galliformes; Phasianidae
Description: gga-miR-1584
Source: miRBase by way of RNAcentral